Molecule: transfer RNA, 72 nt
Filed under: Ixodes scapularis (black-legged tick)
Lineage: Eukaryota; Metazoa; Arthropoda; Arachnida; Ixodida; Ixodidae
Rfam family: tRNA
About the family: Transfer RNA (tRNA) molecules are approximately 80 nucleotides in length. Their secondary structure includes four short double-helical elements and three loops (D, anti-codon, and T loops).
Source: Rfam by way of RNAcentral
UCCUGGUUAGUUCAGUUGGUAGAGCACUUCACUGGAAAUGGAGAGAUCCCUGGUUCGAUCCAGGACCAGGCG